This 1363-nucleotide ribosomal RNA is filed under the name metagenome. RNAcentral's name for it is "bacterial SSU rRNA". It matches the Rfam family "Bacterial small subunit ribosomal RNA", at positions 8 to 1370 of the family's 1533-position model. The record is from RNAcentral.
AGAGUUUGAUCCUGGCUCAGGAUGAACGCUAGCGGCAGGCCUAACACAUGCAAGUCGAGGGGUAACGGGAGAAAGCUUGCUUUUUUGCUGACGACCGGCGCACGGGUGCGUAACGCGUAUACAAUCUACCUUUUGCUGAGGGAUAGCCCAGAGAAAUUUGGAUUAAUACCUCAUAGUAUGAUAACUUGGCAUCGAGAAAUCAUUAAAGGUUACGGCAAGAGAUGAGUAUGCGUUCUAUUAGCUAGAUGGUGUGGUAACGGCACACCAUGGCAACGAUAGAUAGGGGCCCUGAGAGGGGGAUCCCCCACACUGGUACUGAGACACGGACCAGACUCCUACGGGAGGCAGCAGUGAGGAAUAUUGGGCAAUGGAGGCAACUCUGACCCAGCCAUGCCGCGUGCAGGAAGACUGCCCUAUGGGUUGUAAACUGCUUUUAUACAGGAAGAAACACCGCUACGUGUAGCGGCUUGACGGUACUGUAAGAAUAAGGAUCGGCUAACUCCGUGCCAGCAGCCGCGGUAAUACGGAGGAUCCAAGCGUUAUCCGGAAUCAUUGGGUUUAAAGGGUCCGUAGGUGGAUAAUUAAGUCAGAGGUGAAAUCCUGCAGCUCAACUGUAGAAUUGCCUUUGAUACUGGUUAUCUUGAGUCAUUAUGAAGUGGUUAGAAUGUGUAGUGUAGCGGUGAAAUGCAUAGAUAUUACACAGAAUACCGAUUGCGAAGGCAGAUCACUAAUAAUGUACUGACACUGAUGGACGAAAGCGUGGGGAGCGAACAGGAUUAGAUACCCUGGUAGUCCACGCCGUAAACGAUGGUCACUAGCUGUUUGGACUUCGGUCUGAGUGGCUAAGCGAAAGUGAUAAGUGACCCACCUGGGGAGUACGUUCGCAAGAAUGAAACUCAAAGGAAUUGACGGGGGCCCGCACAAGCGGUGGAGCAUGUGGUUUAAUUCGAUGAUACGCGAGGAACCUUACCAGGGCUUAAAUGUAGAGUGACAGGUCUAGAGAUAGAUUUUUCUUCGGACACUUUACAAGGUGCUGCAUGGUUGUCGUCAGCUCGUGCCGUGAGGUGUCAGGUUAAGUCCUAUAACGAGCGCAACCCCUGUUGUUAGUUGCCAGCGAGUCAAGUCGGGAACUCUAACAAGACUGCCGGUGCAAACCGUGAGGAAGGUGGGGAUGACGUCAAAUCAUCACGGCCCUUACGUCCUGGGCUACACACGUGCUACAAUGGUAGGUACAGAGAGCAGCCACUGCGUGAGCAGGAGCGAAUCUAUAAAACCUAUCACAGUUCGGAUCGGAGUCUGCAACUCGACUCCGUGAAGCUGCAAUCGCUAGUAAUCGGAUAUCAGCCAUGAUCCGGUGAAUACG